This 373-nucleotide ribosomal RNA is filed under the name uncultured bacterium. Its description in RNAcentral is "bacterial SSU rRNA". It matches the Rfam family "Bacterial small subunit ribosomal RNA", at positions 525 to 896 of the family's 1533-position model. The record is from RNAcentral.
ACAGAGACUGCAAGCGUUACUCGGAUUCACUGGGCGUAAAGGGAGCGCAGGCGGACUGGUGUGUCAGGCGUGAAAUCCCGGGGCUCAACCCCGGGGCUGCGCCCGAAACUACCAGUCUAGAGACUUGGAGGGGUGAGCGGAAUUCUUGGUGGAGCAGUGAAAUGCGUAGAUAUCAAGAGGAACACCAACGGCGAAGGCAGCUCACUGGACAAGAUCUGACGCUCAGGCUCGAAAGCGUGGGGAGCAAAAGGGAUUAGAUACCCCUGUAGUCCACGCUGUAAACGGUGCGCAUUAGGUCUCGGAGCUUUCGAACGCUCCGGGGCUCAAGCUAACGCAUUAAAUGCGCCGCCUGAGGACUACGGCCGCAAGGCUA